GAUGAACGCUGGCGGCGUGCCUAAUACAUGCAAGUCGAGCGAACAGAUAAGGAGCUUGCUCCUUUGACGUUAGCGGCGGACGGGUGAGUAACACGUGGGUAACCUACCUAUAAGACUGGGGUAACUUCGGGAAACCGGAGCUAAUACCGGAUAACAUUUGGAACCGCAUGGUUCUAAAGUGAAAGAUGGUUUUGCUAUCACUUAUAGAUGGACCCGCGCCGUAUUAGCUAGUUGGUAAGGUAACGGCUUACCAAGGCAACGAUACGUAGCCGACCUGAGAGGGUGAUCGGCCACACUGGAACUGAGACACGGUCCAGACUCCUACGGGAGGCAGCAGUAGGGAAUAUUGCGCAAUGGGCGAAAGCCUGACGGAGCAACGCCGCGUGAGUGAUGAAGGGUUUCGGCUCGUAAAACUCUGUUAUUAGGGAAGAACAAAUGUGUAAGUAACUGUGGACGUCUUGACGGUACCUAAUCAGAAAGCCACGGCUAACUACGUG
Molecule: ribosomal RNA, 497 nt
Filed under: uncultured bacterium
Lineage: Bacteria
Description: partial 16S ribosomal RNA
Rfam family: Bacterial small subunit ribosomal RNA
Source: RNAcentral